UUUCCAGACUCCUACGGGAGGCAGCAGUGGGGAAUAUUGGGCAAUGGGCGCAAGCCUGACCCAGCAACGCCGCGUGAAGGAAGAAGGCUUUCGGGUUGUAAACUUCUUUUCUGAGGGACGAAGAAAGUGACGGUACCUCAGGAAUAAGCCACGGCUAACUACGUGCCAGCAGCCGCGGUAAUACGUAGGUGGCAAGCGUUAUCCGGAUUUAUUGGGUGUAAAGGGCGUGUAGGCGGGAAUGCAAGUCAGAUGUGAAAACUAUGGGCUCAACCCAUAGCCUGCAUUUGAAACUGUAUUUCUUGAGUGCUGGAGAGGCAAUCGGAAUUCCUAGUGUAGCGGCGAAAUGCGUAGAUAUUAGGAGGAACACCAGUGGCGAAGGCGGUCUGCUGGACAGCAACUGACGCUGAGGCGCGAAAGCGUGGGGAGCAAACAGGAUUAGAUACCCGUGUAC
Molecule: ribosomal RNA, 451 nt
Filed under: uncultured bacterium
Lineage: Bacteria
Description: partial 16S ribosomal RNA
Rfam family: Bacterial small subunit ribosomal RNA
Source: RNAcentral